GGGUGAGUAACACGUGGGUAACCUGCCCAAGAGACUGGGAUAACACCUGGAAACAGAUGCUAAUACCGGAUAACAACACUAGACGCAUGUCUAGAGUUUGAAAGAUGGUUCUGCUAUCACUCUUGGAUGGACCUGCGGUGCAUUAGCUAGUUGGUAAGGUAACGGCUUACCAAGGCAAUGAUGCAUAGCCGAGUUGAGAGACUGAUCGGCCACAUUGGGACUGAGACACGGCCCAAACUCCUACGGGAGGCAGCAGUAGGGAAUCCUCCACAAUGGACGAAAGUCUGAUGGAGCAACGCCGCGUGAGUGAAGAAGGGUUUCGGCUCGUAAAGCUCUGUUGGUAGUGAAGAAAGAUAGAGGUAGUAACUGGCCUUUAUUUGACGGUAAUUACUUAGAAAGCCACGGCUAACUACGUGCCAGCAGCCGCGGUAAUACGUAGGUGGCAAGCGUUGUCCGGAUUUAUUGGGCGUAAAGCGAGUGCAGGCGGUUCAAUAAGUCUGAUGUGAAAGCCUUCGGCUCAACCGGAGAAUUGCAUCAGAAACUGUUGAACUUGAGUGCAGAAGAGGAGAGUGGAACUCCAUGUGUAGCGGUGGAAUGCGUAGAUAUAUGGAAGAACACCAGUGGCGAAGGCGGCUCUCUGGUCUGCAACUGACGCUGAGGCUCGAAAGCAUGGGUAGCGAACAGGAUUAGAUACCCUGGUAGUCCAUGCCGUAAACGAU
This 719-nucleotide ribosomal RNA is filed under the name uncultured bacterium. RNAcentral describes it as "bacterial SSU rRNA". It matches the Rfam family "Bacterial small subunit ribosomal RNA", at positions 104 to 810 of the family's 1533-position model. The record is from RNAcentral.